Molecule: ribosomal RNA, 775 nt
Filed under: uncultured Neocallimastigales
Lineage: Eukaryota; Fungi; Neocallimastigomycota; Neocallimastigomycetes; Neocallimastigales
Description: partial large subunit ribosomal RNA
Rfam family: Eukaryotic large subunit ribosomal RNA
Source: RNAcentral
UAUCUCUGUAGAGUCUGCAUAUCAAUAAGCGGAGGAAAAGAAACUAACAAGGAUUCCCUUAGUAACGGCGAGUGAAGCGGGAAGAGCUCAAAUUUGAAAUCUUCAAGGUUCUACCUUGACGAAUUGUAGUUUAAAGAAGUGUUUUCUGUUAGAUGAGUAGCAGAAGUUCUUUGGAAUAGGGACAUCAUAGAGGGUGAGAAUCCCGUAUUUGACCUAUUAUUUCCUAGCUUUGUGAUACACUUUCAAAGAGUCGGAUUGUUUGGGAAUGCAGUCCAAAAUGGGUGGUAAAUUUCAUCUAAAGCUAAAUAUUGGCGAGAGACCGAUAGCGAACAAGUACCGUGAGGGAAAGAUGAAAAGAACUUUGAAAAGAGAGUUAAACAGUACGUGAAAUUGUCAAAAGGGAAGCGUUUGACACCAGUGUUGUUUUCCGAAAAUCAAUUACGAAUGGCUUGAUUUUGUGUUGUAUUGACCUUAUCAGCUUUCUUCACUUUUUUCGAGUCUUUCUUAACGCACUUUUCGGUUAACAAGUCAACAUCAAUUUCUUUUGUUGUAAAAGAGUAUUCGGAAGGUGGCUUUCUUUUCGGAGAAAGUGUUUAUAGCCCUAUACUUCUACAAUCGGAGAGAUUGAGGUCUGCAGCGUAGAUCCUUCGGGGUUAGAUACACUUGUGCUAAGUUGUAGCUUUUCAUAGACAACUUGUUGACUAUGUUUAGUCAUGCGGCUUACUCGCUUGUGCUAUUUUACCUACGCUUAGGAUGUUGACUGAUAUGUAGUCGU